UACGUAGGGUGCAAGCGUUAAUCGGAAUUACUGGGCGUAAAGCGUGCGCAGGCGGUUAUGUAAGACAGGUGUGAAGUCCCAGGGCUUAACCUUGGAACUGCAUUUGUGACUGCAUAGCUAGAGUACGGUAGAGGGGGAUGGAAUUCCGCGUGUAGCAGUGAAAUGCGUAGAUAUGCGGAGGAACACCGAUGGCGAAGGCAAUCCCCUGGACCUGUACUGACGCUCAUGCACGAAAGCGUGGGGAGCAAACAGG
This 253-nucleotide ribosomal RNA is filed under the name uncultured bacterium. Its description in RNAcentral is "partial 16S ribosomal RNA". It matches the Rfam family "Bacterial small subunit ribosomal RNA", at positions 524 to 776 of the family's 1533-position model. The record is from RNAcentral.